RNAcentral lists this ribosomal RNA (404 nucleotides) under Brucella melitensis. Its description in RNAcentral is "partial 16S ribosomal RNA". It matches the Rfam family "Bacterial small subunit ribosomal RNA", at positions 355 to 776 of the family's 1533-position model. RNAcentral also lists the same sequence under 2 other names. The record is from RNAcentral. Lineage: Bacteria; Pseudomonadati; Pseudomonadota; Alphaproteobacteria; Hyphomicrobiales; Brucellaceae.
UGGGGAAUAUUGGACAAUGGGCGCAAGCCUGAUCCAGCCAUGCCGCGUGAGUGAUGAAGGCCCUAGGGUUGUAAAGCUCUAUCACCGGUGAAGAUAAUGACGGUAACCGGAGAAGAAGCCCCGGCUAACUUCGUGCCAGCAGCCGCGGUAAUACGAAGGGGGCUAGCGUUGUUCGGAUUUACUGGGCGUAAAGCGCACGUAGGCGGACUUUUAAGUCAGGGGUGAAAUCCCGGGGCUCAACCCCGGAACUGCCUUUGAUACUGGAAGUCUUGAGUAUGGUAGAGGUGAGUGGAAUUCCGAGUGUAGAGGUGAAAUUCGUAGAUAUUCGGAGGAACACCAGUGGCGAAGGCGGCUCACUGGACCAUUACUGACGCUGAGGUGCGAAAGCGUGGGGAGCAAACAGG